This 205-nucleotide ribosomal RNA is filed under the name uncultured bacterium. Its description in RNAcentral is "partial 16S ribosomal RNA". It matches the Rfam family "Bacterial small subunit ribosomal RNA", at positions 524 to 725 of the family's 1533-position model. The record is from RNAcentral.
UACGUAGGGGGCAAGCGUUUGUCCGGAAUCAUUGGGCGUAAAGGGCGCGUAGGUGGCCACUUCAAGCGUGCGGUGAAAGUCGGGGGCUCAACCCCUGAUCGGCCGUGCGAACUGGGGGGCUGGAGCACUGUAGAGGCAGGCGGAAUUCCGGGUGUGAGCGGUGGAAUGCGUAGAGAUCGGAAGGAACACCAGUGGCGAAGGCGGC